GGUUACCAAGGUUACCGCCGAGAGGCCGCGUCCUCAGCUGGUCCUAGACAUGCGUGGCGUCGGGGCUGUGGCACGGUCGGGUCCGGGGACACUUGUUUAACAAGACAUCUGCCCAUGUCCCUGGCCCAUCUCAUUGGCUGCAGCACAUCACAGUGGACCUUCUGCCUCCUCCCAGAUGCCCAGGGACAGUGAUCUGGAAGGAAGGGGCUUGAGGCUGUUUUCCUAGAACUCGACUUGAAUGCACCAAGGAAAGGCCAUUUGUGGGGACAUAGCAAGAAGGCAGCUGUCUGCAAGCCAGGAGGAGAACCCUCACCAGAAACCUCACAGAAAUCGGCCAACACCCUCAUCUCGGGCUUCCAGCUUCAGAACAACGAGAAAACAAAUUUCUGUUGUGUCCUGGUUCCCAUUUGUAAUUGGCACCCUAAUGAAACCGUUUUCUGUAGCCCUGGAAAUGGCUGAAAAUGAGGGGAGGGAAAUAAAGUGCUAUAAUUCAGAGCAUGGAGCACACCUUCCUGGUUCACCUGAGCUGGAUUCGGAGAGGUAAAAUGGCCAUUACCUCGUCUAAGCUGCCACUUACAGACACAGUACAGGAUGAGGCCCAGACCCACAGAGACAACGAUGAUGGCCACAGCUAAGAUGAUCCAGAAAUUAUUCCUCCACCAGCUCAUUGCAGUGGAAUCCUGAGAAGAAUGGAGAGAGAAGAAUGAGGUAUGAAUGAAAGAUAUCCUGGGGUUGGGUGGAGUGGGGCAGUUAUCUACUGUGGGUUGUUUUUUUUUUCUUUUCUGAGUCGGAGUCUCACUCUGUCGCCCAGGCUGGAGUGCAAUGACGUG
RNAcentral lists this long non-coding RNA (830 nucleotides) under Homo sapiens (human). RNAcentral describes it as "long non-coding RNA NONHSAT145185.2". Lineage: Eukaryota; Metazoa; Chordata; Mammalia; Primates; Hominidae. The record is from RNAcentral.